GCUGGGUGCGGUGGCGGGCGCCUGUAGUUCCAGCUACUCGGGAGGCUGAGGCAGAAGAAUCGCUUGAACCCGGGAGGUAGGGGGUGCAGUGAGCCGAGAUCGCGCCACUGCACACCAGCCUGGGCAACAGAGCAAGACUCUGUCUCAA
This 148-nucleotide non-coding RNA is filed under the name Chlorocebus sabaeus (green monkey). Lineage: Eukaryota; Metazoa; Chordata; Mammalia; Primates; Cercopithecidae. The record is from Rfam by way of RNAcentral.